Molecule: long non-coding RNA, 299 nt
Filed under: Vigna radiata
Lineage: Eukaryota; Viridiplantae; Streptophyta; Magnoliopsida; Fabales; Fabaceae
Description: long non-coding RNA (VRAD_LNC008804)
Source: RNAcentral
GUUUUUACACAUUGCAAUUUUCUUGAACCAUGUUGACAUUGAUGGGUAUUGGUUGAAUGAAGAACAUUUUUUUUUUCUUUUCUAUUGUGCAGCACUGCAACCAAGUGUGUGAUUCUGGUGCAUCUCUUUUUAAUUGCAUUUACUUUCUUUGAAUGGAAGAAUAAGGUGUGUUGUCAUGUCCAUGGGUCCAGUCCUCUUUAUAGCAUUGUUUUUUUUAUUUUCAUGAGAAGGAAAGAAGGGAUCCUCACCUUGGGAAGGUCACUGCCGACGUCCGCUGUCCCCUUCAUUUGCUUUUUUUU